RNAcentral lists this ribosomal RNA (1002 nucleotides) under Neoscytalidium dimidiatum. RNAcentral describes it as "SSU rRNA". It matches the Rfam family "Eukaryotic small subunit ribosomal RNA", at positions 88 to 1098 of the family's 1831-position model. The record is from RNAcentral. Lineage: Eukaryota; Fungi; Ascomycota; Dothideomycetes; Botryosphaeriales; Botryosphaeriaceae.
UGCGAAUGGCUCAUUAAAUCAGUUAUCGUUUAUUUGAUAGUACCUUACUACUUGGAUAACCGUGGUAAUUCUAGAGCUAAUACAUGCUAAAAACCCCGACUUCGGGAGGGGUGUAUUUAUUAGAUAAAAAACCAAUGCCCUUCGGGGCUCCUUGGUGAUUCAUGAUAACUUAACGAAUCGCAUGGCCUUGCGCCGGCGAUGGUUCAUUCAAAUUUCUGCCCUAUCAACUUUCGAUGGUAGGAUAGUGGCCUACCAUGGUAUCAACGGGUAACGGGGAAUUAGGGUUCUAUUCCGGAGAGGGAGCCUGAGAAACGGCUACCACAUCCAAGGAAGGCAGCAGGCGCGCAAAUUACCCAAUCCCGACGCGGGGAGGUAGUGACAAUAAAUACUGAUACAGGGCUCUUUUGGGUCUUGUAAUUGGAAUGAGUACAAUUUAAAUACCUUAACGAGGAACAAUUGGAGGGCAAGUCUGGUGCCAGCAGCCGCGGUAAUUCCAGCUCCAAUAGCGUAUAUUAAAGUUGUUGCAGUUAAAAAGCUCGUAGUUGAACCUUGGGCCUGGCUGGCCGGUCCGCCUCACCGCGUGUACUGGUCCGGCCGGGCCUUUCCUUCUGGGGAUCCGCAUGCCCUUCACUGGGCGUGCCGGGGAACCAGGACUUUUACUUUGAAAAAAUUAGAGUGUUCAAAGCAGGCCUUUGCUCGGAUACAUUAGCAUGGAAUAAUAGAAUAGGACGUGCGGUCCUAUUUUGUUGGUUUCUAGGACCGCCGUAAUGAUUAAUAGGGAUAGUCGGGGGCAUCAGUAUUCAAUUGUCAGAGGUGAAAUUCUUGGAUUUAUUGAAGACUAACUACUGCGAAAGCAUUUGCCAAGGAUGUUUUCAUUAAUCAGUGAACGAAAGUUAGGGGAUCGAAGACGAUCAGAUACCGUCGUAGUCUUAACCGUAAACUAUGCCGACUAGGGAUCGGGCGAUGUUAUUCUUUUGACUCGCUCGGCACCUUACGAGAAAU